Molecule: long non-coding RNA, 698 nt
Filed under: Rattus norvegicus (Norway rat)
Lineage: Eukaryota; Metazoa; Chordata; Mammalia; Rodentia; Muridae
Description: long non-coding RNA NONRATT000434
Source: RNAcentral
GAAGGCCCUGGGGCAGCGGCAGGGCUGGUGCCCCUACUUCCUGGCUCGAUACUCGAUCCUGCAUGCCAACGUGGUGGUUUACAGCUACCACUACCUCCUGGACCCCAAGAUCGCAGACCUGGUAUCCAAAGAGCUGGCCCGCAAGGCCGUUGUGGUCUUCGAUGAAGCCCACAAUAUCGACAAUGUCUGCAUCGACUCCAUGAGUGUCAACCUCACCCGCAGGACUCUGGACCGUUGCCAAAGCAACUUAGACACCCUGCAGAAGACGGUGCUCAGGAUCAAGGAGACAGAUGAGCAGCGGCUACGAGAUGAGUACCGGCGCCUGGUGGAGGGCCUGCGGGAGGCCAGUGCAGCUCGGGAGACAGAUGCCCACCUGGCCAACCCUGUGCUGCCCGAUGAGGUGCUGCAGGAGGCCGUGCCAGGCUCCAUCCGCACCGCCGAGCACUUCCUGGGCUUCCUGCGGCGGCUGCUGGAGUAUGUCAAGUGGCGGCUGCGUGUGCAGCAUGUGGUGCAGGAGAGUCCACCUGCCUUUCUGAGCGGCCUGGCCCAGCGUGUGUGCAUCCAGCGCAAGCCCCUCAGGUUCUGUGCCGAGCGCCUGCGCUCCCUGCUGCACACCCUGGAGAUUGCUGAUCUGGCCGACUUCUCCCCACUCACACUCCUUGCCAACUUCGCCACUCUCGUCAGCACUUAUGCCAAGG